Molecule: unclassified non-coding RNA, 2271 nt
Filed under: Leishmania donovani
Lineage: Eukaryota; Euglenozoa; Kinetoplastea; Trypanosomatida; Trypanosomatidae
Description: gene:LdHU3.36.1820(CDS-product:hypothetical_prote in_conserved)
Source: RNAcentral
UCACCGCUUGUCUUUUCCCCCGCGCCGUGGCACACGCCUCGUUUCCGAAGGCCUCAAGCUGGAUCUGCAAGUAGAGAGACACACCUCACUGGUUAGACGGGUGCGCAGACGUUUGUGCACGCACAAGACACGGGCGGGCAAACUAGUGCCAAUGACGUCGACUCUGACGAACAGCAACCGCAUCAAUAUCCCUGCGGUAUGCCGGCUUCGUGAGCGGAACACGAACAAGACUGUGGGCUCGGGUGUGCUGGUGGCACCGGGGCUGCUGCUGACGUCUGCCACCGCUAUCCCUACGCAGUCGCGUGCCACGCACGUUGUGGCCACGUUCUUUGAGGGAACCAAGAAAAGCGCCGUGGAUGUGCAACUGCAGCCGCAGCGCUACUACUUCGCCUCCCGCUAUCCGCCAGAAAUGGACUACUGCCUUAUCAGCUGCGAGGAGGCGCCGCUGUUCAACGUCACACCGGUGCACAUGGCACUCACUGAGAAAGGGUGGGCACCUGUGGAGGAAGGCGAUGUAGUACUGAUCGUAGAGCACCCAAUCGGAGACGUGGCCGGCACCGCAGCAGCUCCAUUGGACGGAAAAGCGACCUUCUCCUCCACGCUAUCCGCGACCGGCGAGGGCAACUUUGAUUCCGUGCAGGCGCCGUACGUGGAGCAGAAGCGCUUCGAGGAAGUGCUGCGCUGCCGCGGCAAUGUGAGCUUCCUCAAGUCCAACGGGGGCUGGAGGACAGCUGGCUGUCCUGCGUUCAACGAGCACGGCCAGCUGGUCGGCCUGCAAUCGCAGAGCAGGGCAGAUGGCGAGGGAGUCGUGAACCGCAUCCUGUCGCUGAUCUCUAUUGUGAAGCACCUCUUCGCCAACGUGCAGCUGCCGCAUCUCCCGCAGGAGGACGUCACGUUCGAGGAUGUGUGGGACACGUGGUACCUGACGAACGACAUCACGCGCAUCAUCGCCAUCCUCGCCAACUUUAAAGGCAAGUCCAUGACCCGGCAGGUGAUAUGGCGCCUGUGCGAGCUGACGGCAAAGCCGCAGCUGGUCAAGAGUAUCGCCUCGAAUGGCGGCAUCGAGGUUAUUCUGCAGAACCUUAGUCUCUUCUGUAGCGACGAGAAGCUUUCGGAGAUCGGCUUACGCGCUCUCUGGAAUGUGAGCAUUGGCGAGGAGGCGCAUCUAGCCACCAUUAUCAAAAAGGAAGGCGUGCACACCAUCCUCGACGUUGUGGAGUCAUUUCCUGCGAACGAGACGGUGCUCGAGUUUGGCGUGGUGCUGCUGCACAACAUCGUCGGGUGCCGUGCGGCGCCAAACUUCUCUGAGGCUCACGGCGCGCGUGCGUUGAAGGCGCUAUACCCCGGCUUUCAGCAGUUCCGUGAGAGCGUCGUGCUGCAGAAGUUUGCGCUGAGCUUCUUUGCAACCCUUGCGCGACUUAACGAGGAGUUUGCACGCGAUUUGGUGCAACAGCACGUCAUCGAGCACAUUACCCAUCUCAUCGAAGAGAAGCCGAAGCAGAUCUUUCUCAUGGAAAUAGUCGUCGGGUUUGUGGCAGAGCUGGCGCAGUACCCGCAUACGGUUGAGCUGAUGUGUAAUAACACCCCGGAGUACGCAGCCGCCAGCAUGGCGUAUCUGAUUGACCUCCUCAUUCAUAUCAUCUUGGAAUACAAGGACCUUGAUAGCCUUUUGGUGAGCGGCAAUCGGGCGCUGUGGGGACUUGGUAAUGCGCCCACUUGCCGCGGCAUCAUUUUGGAGAACCCACGGGGCAUCGAUGCACUGCGCAUCUCACUGCCAGCACUCAUAGCAAGCACCCACCGCUAGUUAUGUUGUCCUCCUUGGCGGCUGAUGUCUGUGCCCACUUGCUGCCUCUCCUCUUGGGCCCGAGUCGGGCUCUCAUUUUUCUUUUGGUUUUGCGUGUGUGUGCGUGUAGGGAGGAUGUGGUCUUGGCCGCGUGUGGUGCCAAGAGAAAAGGGGGCGGGGGGAGGGGGAAGAGAAGGAACGCCGCACCGGUGGCGCCUGCUUGCUUCUGUCUGUGAAGAAAAGCGGAUGCCAUGCUGCGUCCCAUUGUUCUCGCUCGUCUCUCGGUCAUGCGGGAGCAUCUCUUUAACGUUUUUUUUUUGUUUGGUGGUCAUCACCCACGCCUCUCCUUGCCUCUCUCUUCGAUGUACGUUAGCGUAUUUUCCUCCUUCGGUUUUCGUUGUUGAAUCGUUCACGUUUUGAAUCGCAGGUCGUCCCCGCCCCCCCAUCCUCGUGGAACGAAGACGGUGCGUCAAAAGGGUGCGCACUAC